This 3856-nucleotide long non-coding RNA is filed under the name Pan troglodytes (chimpanzee). RNAcentral's name for it is "long non-coding RNA NONPTRT006206". The record is from RNAcentral. Lineage: Eukaryota; Metazoa; Chordata; Mammalia; Primates; Hominidae.
UGCAGCUACCACCAUAGUGACCACUAUACCAUAUAUACAUAUUAUAAUAUAUAACAUCAUCACCACCAAGGUAGAGGCCCUAUUUCUCUAGUCAAUCCCUGAAUAUCUUCAAGCAAUUCAUAUGAUUUUUCUUUUGCUUUCCCCAGAAGAAAUUCUGAAGGGGAAGGAAUAAAUAAUUUUGCAUUGGCCAAGCAUUAGUUUGAAAUGCCUAAGCUUUUCUUUAUGGAAGUUUUUAAAUGCAGUCACUUUUGAUUUAGUACAGAAUUAUAAUCAACUAGAGGCUACAGGCAUUUUAGCCUGCUGGAGUUUAUAUUGGGGGUUUUGCAAGACAGCAAUCUCCAUUUCUUAAACAUGUGCUUUAGUAAGACAAAAUACUAUUUCUCAGUAGAGCACAACCUUGAAGAAAAUCAAUGUAAAUGUUAUUCUACUUCUCACCUCUUUUUCUCUACAAAACUAAACACUCCAAACACAGGCACAGCAAACUGCAUUUCUAAAGGUUUUGUAAGUUAAACAAGCCAAGGAAGUUACGUGGAAAAAAAAAAUCUCCUUUGAGAUAUAAAAUUGUUCAUAUCUGAAGGAGACUGUACAGAUAGCAGAAGGGAAUAUAGUAUAAUAUUUGAUGAAGAGACAUAAUUAUCAUUUAUGAAUGAGAAAGCUCAAUGUUUUUCUAAAUUACUCGAAUUAAACCUCAAAUAAAUAUUUGAAGUUCUCCAUCUAAUUCGGCUACAAUGAAAAAUUGAAUCUCAUUACCUCUGGAUUUACAUCGACUCCAAUUUCAAAGAUUGUAUUUAUUUCAGAGGGGAUGAAAAAGCAUUUUUCACUAGGAAGAAAAUGAAUUGAGGUUUCAAUAUAAAACAAGACUCAUUGCAUAUUAUAAAGAAAGUGCUAGUCUAAAUUUUUUUUCCAAAGAAAACUUCUAAGAAAAAGUCAGAGAUAUUUCACUUAGUUUGGAGAUAAGUUUAAAUAAAUGACAAUUAUGUGUCUGUAAUAGUGGUACAAACAGACAUUGUAUACCUCAAUUUAAGCAUACUUAUUAUAUCAACUAGAGAGUAUUAUUCCUUUUACGAAAUAAUUCCUCAUUCUACAAAAACACGCAGUAUAGGAUCCAUUUAGUAAUGAGCUCCCCAGUGUAUUCUACCUGUAAUUUAAUUCAAUUUUCACAGUUUUCUAGAUACAACAAUUGCCUCAAGCAAGGUAAACUUCUUUGCCAGUUUAAGUGGAUACGCUGUAGAAAUCAGAUCAGUGUGUGUAUGUCUGUACAUCUCUUUAAAAGCUGAUUGCAAUGUGCUUAUAAAAGGAACAGUCAGUUGUCCACUAUUUUCACCAUACGCAAUUUCCUCCCAUAGCUUCACGGCCAUAUGGAGAUGUUCAUCCUGAGCCACCUAAAUUUCCAGCAGGGAAAACAAAACCAACAAACAAAACAGGACAUGACAAUGAAGAUAUCAAAGAACUGUUAUUUACUUUUGCUACAAGAAGUACACAGAGGAUUCAUGAUUCUUGAACUAUAUUUUCCAAAAUAAGUGACAGUCAUUCACUUUCUUGACAAAUAUUUAUGGAGUACUAACAAUAGGCCGGACACUAUGAUCGUCUUUUACAAUAUAUUCUCCCUAAAGAAGAUUCCAAGUGAAAAUAUACUGAGAGUGCUCAUCAUUCUAUAUCUCAUACUUGAAACAUUCAUAAUAGGUGCGUCGGCCACUUAAGGGCUCCAAGAAAUCUUAAAGAAACUUGUUUAAUCCAACAGUGACCAGAUACAUUUAAUUAUGCCAUUUUCUUUUCCUUUCCUUUUCCUUUUUUUUUUUUUUUUUUUUUUUUUUUUUUUUUUUUUUUUUUUUUUUUUGACAGAGUUUCUCUCUUACUCCCAGGCUGGAGUGAAGCGGCGCGAUCUCAGGUAAUUGCAACCUCUACCUGUUGGGUUCAAGCGAUUCUCCUCCCUCACCCUCCUGAGUACCUAUUACAGGCACUCACCACCAUGCCCAGCUAAUUUUUUAUUUUCAGUAGAGACGGAGUUUCACCCUGUUGGCCAAGCUGGUCUCAAACUCCUGACAUCAGGCGAUCCAACCGCCUUGGCCUCCCAAAGUGCUGGGAUUUCAGGCAUGAGCUACUGCGCCCGGCCAUUGUUUUUUUUCCUUUUUACGCACAGUAAUAUCCACUGGGACAAGGGCUUUCUGAAAUAGCAUUCUUCUAAAAGUUCUUCUCCAUAUGCAUCAAAGCCUGGCUGAUUUAAUAUGAAAUGCAGCUUUUAGAAUGUCUAUGUGUCAUUUUUUUCCCUUCACCUACAGUGACACCUGUGGUACUGAACUAUGCAACAUCCUUUCCCCCGAGAUCUGACAAGUGUUAGUCCUGUUUACCAAGCAUGCUGUCUUCUGUGUGUUGCCAUGUGGUUCCCAGGGCUCCGGGGCUGGACUCUAGACCAGGUCUGUCCAAUCACUGUGUUCCGUCACAGUGACUGAUGCAGGGAAAAGCCCUUGCCCUGAAUUAGUUAAAUGAGAGGCAAUGCUGGAAUUCAUUUUUAUACCUAUUACCAAUGGAGUUGCUGGGAGGAUAUGAUAGAGCUGGUGGCUCCUGGUGGCCAUCUUGCUACCAUGUGGAAAAACAAUGGCCAUGAUAAGACCAACACAGUGAAAGGCAGAACUUUGGGAUGGCAAACAUGAGACUGAGUUCCUGCACCCAAGCCAGUAAAGAUGCCCUCAGUGAACAAAAUGUGUAAAGAAACAACUUCAAGGACAUGUAACUAAAACACUUAGGAAUUUCCUUGGGUCAGGCAGGUUUGGAUCAUCAACAUUUUCAUUUCCCCCUUUAUAUCCAAAAUGAAAUGUUCACAUGGUAAGACCAACCAGUUUUUUCUUCUUGUGUUUAUAGUGGAAUUUGGAUGAGAACUGUGGAUAUAAUCUACAUAAUUAAUCUGCGCCAACUCCAAAUGCCAGAUAAUCUCUUAAAUUGUUUGUCAAGAUAAAUAGAACAGAAAAAUUGACUCACACACCAACCUCCUCUCUAAUUUAACAAAAUUGGAGAAUCGCACAAUGGGUGGAAUAUUGACAAUAUGCAAUAGAAGUUGCCCUAAAGGGAUUAUUUAGCAGGAACAAAGAAAACUCCAACAGUUGGCAGAGUCAUGAUGAGGUUAAACAAAAGAUGAAACUCUUCUCCAAACCUGGGUGUUGAAUUAUUGAAAUUUGUUUCAAACAUUUCAGCAUCUGAGUAGUGACAUAUGACAAACACAUGCCUAUAUUACAAUAGAAAAGUAAACUUGUAACAAAGUAAUCUUUAUAGUUACCUUGGUUUUGUCAUCUGUAAAAUAGGAGAAAUAAUAGUGUCUACUUCAUAUGGGUAAACAGUCAAUUAGACGAUUCUCAUAAAGGAUCCAACAUGGUAUAUGGCACUCUGUGAACACUAAAGAAUUGCUGAAUAAGGAUGAUGGUGGUGAUGGUAGUGGAGGAUGAUGAUGAUGAUGGUGGUGGUGAUGGCAGCGGAGGAAGAUGAUGUUGCUAAUGAUGGUGGUGAUGUUAGUGGAUGAGGAUGAGGAUGAUGGUGGUGAUGGUAGUGGAGGAGGAUGAUGUUGCUAAUGACGGUGGUGAUGUUAGUGGAUGAGGAUGAUGAUGGUAGUGGAGGAGGAUGACGGUGAUGAUGAUGGUGGUGAUGGUAGUGGAUGCGGAUGAUGGUGAUGAUGAUGGUGGUGAUGCUAGUGGAGGAGGAUGAUGGUGAUGAUGAUGGUGAUGGUGGGGGAGGAUGAGGAUGAUGAUGACGGUUGUGAUGGUAGUGGAGGAGGAUGAUGGUGAUAAUGAUGGUGGUGAUGGUAGUGGAUGGGGAUGAUGUUGAUAAUAAUGGUGGUGAUGGUAGUACUAUGAAGAUGAUGCUGAUA